AUCUAAGCAUGUGCUGUUUUCCUUCUAACAUCAGAACCUGUGACUGACGAUGCGCAAGCAUCUUCUGAAGGUGACCAAACCCCUGAUAAGAACAAGAAAAAGAACCGCUGCUUUUCUUGCCGGAAGAAAGUGGGCCUUACUGGUUUUGACUGUCGCUGUGGCAACCUGUUCUGUGCCAUCCAUCGCUACUCUGACAAACACGACUGUCCGUAUGAUUACCGGAGUGCAGCGGCUGCACGCAUACGCAAGGAGAACCCCAUCGUGGUGGCUGAAAAAAUUCAGAAGUUAUGAGGACUAAGUGCAAUAAAAGUCUCUAAGACUUUGUGAAUUUGAACAAUGGCAACUUGGAUGAAAAACACCCGACAUCGUGGCUUCAUUUGUUCAAGGUAGUUGAAGGCAGGCGGGGUGGGGCGACAUGGUCGCAGCAAAAAGUCAAGACACGUCCCUUACUAGUGUUUCCCUCCCUCUCUUUCUCUCGCUCUCUCUCUGCUAGUGACUGCAGCUAAAUCUGAGUGUCUGUGUUUUGGGCUUGUAUGAAAGUGUGUGUGUGCGCGCGCGCGUGUGUGUUUGCAUACAUCUGCUUGAGAGUUGGGGAGAGAGUAAAGUAGGGGCUUGACGGACAUUUGUUUUGCCAUGGGGAGGGAGGGGAUAUACAUUUUAGGCCUUUUUUUGUUUCUCAGCUUAGAGGGAUCGUGUUAGUCAUUUUUAUUUGUACAAUCCCUGUGGGUCAUUGAAAUAAAAUGGGUAUAAGGAGUUUGGGAAUGUGCCACAGCCUGGAUAAUGAAACCAUCUUAUUCAGAAGGUGUUGGUUCAAAAAGAGAAACAAAAAGAAAUCAUGUGUCAGACCUUUUUAAGGGCUUUGGAAUAUUUUUUGUCUUAGACUUUAAAAUUUCUGUAACCUUAAUUUUGAAAUUGCUUCCCCCCGCCCCCCUCUUUAGCUCUCAGCCUUUGGAUCACCACAUGUUGAAGUCCGAAGGCUCAGCAUUUUUUAUUUUUAUUUUUUUUUAGUCAUUUCUUUCUUUAUGUUGACAUGCAUGGAUACUGGGUACAUGAACAGCUAUUGAUUGGGGAGGUAAAGGUCAGAGCUGACGGAGAACCUUGACUUAACCGAGUGAUUGAAUCCUGAUUUUUUUUUUUUUCUUGUUUUAAUGAGCGUAUGACUUCAGAAGAUCUAUAUUAAUAUAUUCUAGUUAGCUUGAAUUGUGUGAUUGCAUUCUAUUUAUUUUAUAUUGUUUGGUAUGUGCUGGAGGAUUGGUGGCAUGUGUCAGCAGAUUGUUAGGAUUUGCACUUUGCAGUUUUAUUUAAUUAAUUCCAUCCUUACUCUAUAACCAUGAAAGUAAAAUAAUAUACAACCUCUCAUAUGGAUUGGAGUGCAGUUUUGCUGCAAUCUGCGCAUUAAGAUUGCCUUUUUCUCACUUUUUUUUUUUUUUUUCCAUUGAAAUAAAGCACAACAAUGGAUAUCGACUGCAGAGCACAAAAUAUGUGCCAACCCUACUUGGUUUUGUUCAGCAUUUUGGUCAUUUGAAGUUCAUAUCUGAGCUAUACAGCAGGCUCAGAAAUAAAAAGCCUUGUUUUAGUGAUGAGGUGUAUUAUGAGGUUUUCCUUGAAAACCUUUUUUUUUUUUUUUUUUUUUUUUUUUUGUGCUUUUUUGUUUUUGGAGUCAGUUAGGCUCCAUGUUUCUCUAACCACCAGCAGACCACUGACACAUGCUGAAUGAAAACUGACCUGGGUCACGGUUAAGCUACACAAAAACAUGUUCUGCUCAGCUACAGCAAAGAUUGUCGCCGUGCUGUGCUUUCCUUUUUUGUUUUCUUUUUUUUUUUUUUCUUUUUCUUUCUUUUUGUCUUACAUAGUCUGAUUCAGACGAGUCCUUAUGCAAAGAUCGCUUCUGGCUAGCUUGUUUUCAGGAAGAUCUGACCUGAUGCAUGUGUGCAGUUGGGACAUAAAGCGCAGCGCUGCAAGUUGACUGCAUAGUUGGAAAUGUCGGAGCUGUGGUCUGAAAAAAGGCAACACUCAGCAGUAGCACAAUGCAUGGCUGAAACCUUUGGGGCUGAAGUUAUCAGGACUCAACAGUUUUUGUUUUUUUUCUUUUUUUUUUCCAAAUGUAAAUAACAUAUGGCUCCAAUUCAUAUAGUAUAAUCUUUAUGUAGAUUAUUGCCAGGUAACUAAGGUGAUGGAUUGAGGUGAAGAAUAGUACUAUGUGUAUUAAAGUGCUUUUCAUAAUUAUCCAAAAAAAAAAGUGCCCUUACUGGCACUGACAAUUUUACCAAUUUAUUACCCCAUUUAAUGUACAAUUAUAACAUGUAAAAUUUUGUGUUUUCUGUAAGCCACCUGCUACUUGUAUCUUCACCAAGCCAUGCAUCUUCUAUUUUUUACAAUCAUAAUGUUUAAAAUAAAAACAAACAAAAG
This is a long non-coding RNA of Poecilia latipinna (sailfin molly), 2409 nucleotides long. RefSeq lists it as uncharacterized. Lineage: Eukaryota; Metazoa; Chordata; Actinopteri; Cyprinodontiformes; Poeciliidae. The record is from RefSeq and is a predicted model, not a curated record. The transcript has 2 exons.